CCUACGGGAGGCAGCAGUGGGGAAUAUUGCGCAAUGGGCGAAAGCCUGACGCAGCGACGCCGCGUGGGUGAUGAAGGCCUUCGGGUCGUAAAGCCCUGUCGAGAGGGACGAAUCGGCUCCGACCCAAUACGUCGGAGCCCUGACGGUACCUCUAAAGGAAGCACCGGCUAACUCCGUGCCAGCAGCCGCGGUAAUACGGAGGGUGCGAGCGUUGUUCGGAAUCACUGGGCGUAAAGCGCGUGUAGGCGGUCCGCUAAGUCUGGUGUGAAAGCCCGGGGCUCACCCCCGGAAGUGCACUGGAAACUGACGGACUCGAGUCCCGGAGAGGAGAGUAGAAUUCCUGGUGUAGCGGUGAAAUGCGUAGAUAUCAGGAGGAAUACCGGUGGCGAAGGCGGCUCUCUGGACGGUGACUGACGCUGAGACGCGAAAGCGUGGGGAGCAAACAGGAUUAGAUACCCUGGUAGUCCACGCUGUAAACGAUGAGCACUAGGUGUCGCGGGUAUUGACCCCUGCGGUGCCGCAGCUAACGCACUAAGUGCUCCGCCUGGGGACUACGGCCGCAAGGUUAAAACUUAAAGGAAUUGACGG
This 588-nucleotide ribosomal RNA is filed under the name uncultured bacterium. RNAcentral describes it as "bacterial SSU rRNA". It matches the Rfam family "Bacterial small subunit ribosomal RNA", at positions 338 to 916 of the family's 1533-position model. The record is from RNAcentral.